GGUGAACGCUGGCGGUGUGCCUAAUACAUGCAAGUCGAACGGACACACAAUAAGAUCUUGCCCCUAACGGUGGCGGCUGACGGAUGGGUGACACAUGCAUCGCCUACUUCUAUUACGGGGGUGACUUCGUAGGACAACUGAUGAUAAUACCUCAUACAUUGUACCGGUUAAAGCAGUAGAUCUUCACGGUUUUCCUGAUUGUUAUAGAUGGUUCCGCGCCGGAUUAGCUAGUUGGUAAGGUAACGGCUUACCAAGGCUACGAUGCGUAGCCGACCUGAGAGGAUGAUCAGCCACACUGGAACUGAGACACGGUCCAGACUCCUACGGGAGGCAGCAGUAGGGAAUAUUGGGCAAUGGGCGCAAGCCUGACCGAGCAAUGCCGCGUGAGUGAUGAAGGUCUUCGGAUCGUAAAGCCCUGUUGUUAGGAAAGAACAACUGUGUAUGAAACUACGGCUGUUUUGACGGUACCUAAUGAGAAAGCACCGGCUAACUACGUG
RNAcentral lists this ribosomal RNA (497 nucleotides) under uncultured bacterium. RNAcentral's name for it is "partial 16S ribosomal RNA". It matches the Rfam family "Bacterial small subunit ribosomal RNA", at positions 28 to 507 of the family's 1533-position model. The record is from RNAcentral.